Molecule: long non-coding RNA, 4915 nt
Filed under: Equus caballus (horse)
Lineage: Eukaryota; Metazoa; Chordata; Mammalia; Perissodactyla; Equidae
Description: lncRNA (ENSECAG00000053804.1)
Source: RNAcentral
GAGUCCUUCGCUGUGUCUAGGAAUUGUCCACUCUGAGCGGGGCCCUGCUCCAGGGUCUUCUAGGCCCAAAUGUCCAAACACCAAAUACAGAAACUGGGACAUGUGGUUAUUACAUGCUGACAAUCAGGAAAUCCUCUCCCCUGGGUUGCUUGGAGAGGGGGUGUGACUGGGAACCUUCAUGACCUGUCCUGUCAAGACUUGUCAAGAUCACGUGGGCCCAUGAUGCCACCCUUCUUCAUGCCAAUCUUUGCCACAUUUUAUUAUUUUGCUCAUUCAUUCAGUCAUUCAACAACACUUGCUCAGCGCCUGCUGUGAGCCGGGCUUUGUCUGGCCCUGGCAGCCUGGUCAGAGACAGCCCAUGAGUCCAGUGGAAGCCCUGUCUGUGUGGCCAGUGCUCUAGGAAAGACCUGAGGACAGUCUCUUCAGAGGCUUCUCGUCCUGCCCUGGACUCCUGGCAGGUAGGAAGGUCCCUUGACGUCAAGUUGAGUGACGGCUGUGGAGGCAGUCUCAUUUCUCGUAGUGGAAGAUGCACCGUUAACCAGAGAGGGGCCUUCCUCAGUCUCCGAGCUUUGUGUUUUCCGUGACUUUCAAAGGCAACUCACAGAUGGGCACUUUCAUAACAGGGGUCUCAGAGCCAAGUCGGCGACUUGAAAUAGUGUGAAGACCCCAAUGGCUGGACUCACAGGGGCCGUGUGACCCUUGCACAUGAAUUUUCAAAUGGCCUUGGAAAGUGCAGCAUGAUUUUAGGAAAGAUUUCCAAUUAACUUGGGUUCUUCAAAGCAGUUCUGUGCCUUGGAAAGAGAAUGCAUUAGAAUUUUGUGAAAGGCUUUAUAUCCUGAAACAGAAAACAUAAAUGGCAGUGGGGAAAAUAAUCAAAGUUACUGAGUCUGGAAAUCACCACUCUGGGGUGUGUGAGAACCUCAUCCACUAACUCCCUACCAUGCUGGGAGCUUCCAGAGCUGACGAGGUGGGUUCCAGAGCGUCAGACGUCUGUUUGCUCCCUGCUCAGGUGGGCGUCUGUCCUGGUCCACCUGCUGGUAGGGCGGAGACGGUGCCUGCCACCUCCCUCAGCCCCCUGGGAAACCUUGCACACAGCAGGCACUUAGUCCACUCUGGUGGGAUGGAACUAAUGAGAAAAGACCCCCCAGGAAGGUGUGGGGUCGCAAAGGGCGCUCCUGUUACCUGUUCCUCUGCUCUGAGUUGGAGGGAGAGCAGCCAGGCUUAGGCCGGGGCUCGGGCUCCUUCCCUCUGGGUGGGGAAGCGAGCGAGCUGGUAUGGAGCCCUCACCACGAGCUGGCAUUGCAGUAGGCGCCCAGUCACCCUGUGCAACGGGCAUUAUUACCCAUUUUACAGAUGGAGAGGUGGACGCACUAGAGACGGCCCUCCUGCGUGGUUUUCAUUUGAAAGGUUUCCAGGAUCCCGUCUGACCAGCCUGCCGGCCGGAGACAGCCAUCUUCACUGAGUGCUGGACUUCACUGAGCACUGAGUUGGGCAGGACACUGUCCUCAGAAAGGCUCUGAUUUGAUCAAGCAGACUAAGCAGGGGAGGCCUCCCAGCCUGACAACUCCGGGACCCGUUUAUCAGAUGGGCCAGUUGAUGCCCUGGAGAGCGUCGAGCGAGUCCCACAGGUUGAAUGAGUGGGGCAGACACAGCAGUGACCCCUCCACCCCUCCUCCACUGGCGGAGCCCAGCACCACCCAGCGUGGAGGAAAAUUCCAGCAACUCACCCUCCCGGCUUCUCUCAGGUCUCGGAGUAACCAUGUAACCCAGCUCCGGUCGAUGAGAUGUCAGGGGAGAUCUCCUAAGGGGCUUCUGGAUACGAUUUCCUCCUGAUGAAAAGAGUGACCCUCAGGGAAGGUCCUUUCUACGUUCAGUUCCUUCCUGCUUUAGAUGACGUCCUGUGACGACAGGAUACCAUCAGUCUUUGUGACCAUGAACAACCUGACACACAGCAUUCGAAGGAUGACUGAGUGGCUGAUGCAUGGAUCCUGGGUUCCAGUGAUGUCAUUAGUGGCAAGACCACAUACCUCCUGACUUCCGUUCUUGACCAGAGUAUCCACCUCAGAGGGUCAUUGAAAGAAUUACGGAGUGAGAAGGUGCAAACUGCUCAGCACGGAGCGGGGCCUACGUGGUGUCAGUAUUGUUGUUCAACUGGACACAGCUCGCAUGCAUUUCUCCCUUCUUUACGCGCCUCCCCCCAUUCAGCCCAUUUCAGGCUUCUUAUCGGCUGAUAUGUUCCAUGCAGAUGUUUCCAGUUCAAGGAAGACAGUGCGAAUUCCCUACACACGCCCACACCCUAGGCUUUGCGCAGUCUCCCUGGCAGAUUCUGAGAGUCAUCGUGGGGAACUCCCAUCUCGUUCUGUGAAGCAGCCUGACAAUCAGCCAGGCGGGUGAUGCUCCAGAACAAACCAGGAAGCCAGUGGGCCUGGGGGCGACGCUGCCCUCUGCAGAUGUCGGACUGAGAGGCACCCGUGGGGAAGGGCAGUGCUGGGCGUCCCCACGCUUGUCUGCAGAGUGCCCCUAGGCUGCUGCCGGGUCAGGAACCAGCUCCCUUUCCAGCCUUCCUGCUCCACUGGACCCGGGAGGGUCCCUCAGAAGCUCCAUGGGGUCGGACGUGGGAUGCUCAUUGGUCCUGAUGGCAAGUCCUCCUGACUGAGAGGAAAGACGAUGAGGCGACAGGCCUUCCCAAGGUUGGCCAUAAAUCAGAGCCAACGGGGGACAUGUGUCACGGAUGCCAGCCCUGGGGUCUCGGGUGCCCCACUGGACCACAGGAGACCAGCUCUCGCUCAGCUCGUCUGCUGGCAGGGACGACCAGCCUGUGGCCGUGCUUUGCCCCCGAGGGGUUGUCCUGCUGUUUAAUGAGGUUUAAGGGAGAGGCGGCCCAGCGUCUGUCUCAUCAGAGGGCAUGGAGUCUUGAGACACAGGAGCUCCUCUGGCCUUUAGGGCUCUCAGCAUCCACCCCAUUCACGCGCAGGAACAGCCGUGACUUAGGGCGCAUCUGGGGGCACAGGCGGUUUCGGGGGAAGGAAGGCCCUCUGAGUACCCUCAGGCUUCACGCUGGGCUCCUCCUGCAGGAGAGACGGAGCUGGGCGGCGCCUCCGGACAUUCUGUCGGGCAGUCCCUGGUUCGCUGUAAACCUCCGAGUUCUCAAGAUAACAGCCCAGGGAUCGGCCUGAGGAAUAACCUGCUCACAGGAAGGACAGCAGGCGGCCAAACUGGUGAAUUCCAACCCGGGGAUCUUCGUCCUGGUGCCAUGGCGCCUGGAAGUCAUGGGGAUUUUUACAGAAAACCAUGAAGCAUAUUUGCGAUCCCUCUGGCCGUGGAGUCCCAGAGAUCCCUGACCCCAACCUGCCGUUCGACUUUGAACUUGUCACUUCCCGUCUCUGUGCCUCUGUUUCCUCACCUGUAAAAGGGACGGAUACACUGGUGUGAGGACAAAGCGACAAAACCCGGUAAAUCUAACCUCAUCCAGUGCCUGCACACUGCAGAUACUUGGUCAGUGGUUGCCAAGUACCAAAAACUUAAGAAAAAUGUUCCAGAGGGGAAGCUAAAUUGAGAAGGGCCUUCCCACUGAAAUUAUUGUUAUUAUUAUUUUAAGUUGGGGAAAGACUGCCGCUGCCUGAUGAUAGUGGCUGAGCAUGCUGCCCAGAGCUCAGGAGCAGCCCAGGAGCCGUGGUGCAGGCCAGGCUCUGAACCUCUCCCGCGUGGGACACCGGACCGAGCACACAACCAGAGGACACACCGGGCUCACGAAAUCACGGGCUCAAAGCCCAGCUCCGUCUCUCAUCGCCAGGUGACCCGUCAGGUGGCUCCACCUCCCGGUCUGCACACCAGCGCUGCUGCAGGACGCGCCCACAGUGGUGCAGGUGGCGGGUCGGCGUGACUGUGCACAGAACACAGCGGGCUGAGCGAACGCAAAAUGAGAGCUCAGUCAGGAAGAAAACCAGGGUGCCCACGACAUGUGCACGAUUUCAGCCCCACUAAACACCCUCCAACUCGGGGCAAUUUAGAAAGCAACACUGCUGUAGGGGUGACCUCGAAACCGCUCAAAAUUGUUUAAAACUCAUCCACACUUACUGCUUUGGUCUUUGUGGGUAACAAACCAUUUGUCGACAGCCUCCUGACCGACACGGGCGGGAAGCCUCAGUGCGGGCGGGGAUAGACUUCUGCCCCGGCUGCUUUGGUUUCCCAUGGCCACUGUAAGAAAUGACCCUGGACUAAGUGGCUUAGAGAAUACAAAUUUAUCACCUUAUGGUUCUGGCGCUCAGAAGACCGAAAUGGGUCUCAACAGGUGAAAACCAAGGUGUCACCAGUCCGAGUCCUUCUGGAGGCUCCAGGAGAUGGUCACUCCUUACCUUUUCCAGCUUUAAAAGGCUGCCCCCCUCCUGGCCUCGUGGCUGCUUCUGUCCUCGAAGCCGGCUGAGUCCUUCUCUCCACGUGAUCUCUCUGGUUCUGACCACUCUCCCUCCCUCUGCCCCAUGUAGGUCCCUUGCGGUGUACUGGGCCCACCUGUGGUGCAGGGUCAUCUCCCUGGUUUAGGAUCAGGUGAUCAGCAACCUUAAUUCCAUUUGCAACUUUAUGUGCUUUUGCCCCCUGUCAUGCAUGUAACAUAACAUAUUCCCAGGGCCCAGGAAUUUGCAGUGGACAUCUUGGGACUGGGGCUUUGUCUUGCCUACCACAUGGGAAAACCUUGAAUCUGCUCAAAGUUAUUUAAAAUUCAUUCACACAUAUGGUUGCUUUAAUCUUUAUCAGUAACAAAUACUAUGAAUAACUUCACAACAGAUAUUGAUCAGAAAUGCCGGGCUUUUCUCCAGGCUGCAUGAGAUGUGAAAAAAUAUGGUGGUUUUCUCAUAAAAUUAAAUUUUCUCCAUUGAAGAACUGUUCUUUUGGUAUUAAAGUGGUGGUAACAGACAAC